This is a long non-coding RNA of Ictalurus punctatus (channel catfish), 1768 nucleotides long. RefSeq lists it as uncharacterized. NCBI's taxonomy places the organism in Eukaryota, Metazoa, Chordata, Actinopteri, Siluriformes, Ictaluridae. The transcript is spliced from 2 exons. The record is from RefSeq and is a predicted model, not a curated record.
UGUAUGUUGAUACGUGAAAUUCUGGAGGGACGUCGGACGGCGUGGCGCGGUGACGUAAUGACGUGUGCCGUUAAUCUAAUUAUGUUCUCUAACUUGUAAAACAGGAACAUGACAGGAGUACUCUAAAAGUGACUCAUGUAAACACCUUAAUCACAUUAUUAUCUUACUCAGAGUAAGGCCAAUAAUUAGAUUACUGCUGUCCAUGUAAAUGUAGUCUGUAAUACACGUCGAUAAUGCAACUAAAACAGGAGUACUCCAAACGUGUUAAUUCGGUUAGUGCUUACUUCGCGUAUGACCUUAAUCAGAUUAAGGUAAUUAAAAAUUGCUGUUUACAUGGUAGUUUCUUAAUCAAAGUAUCAUCUUAAUCAGGUUAAGAGUCGAUUCUUGUUCUCCAUGUAAACCUACUGACUAAGUGUGUUACACAGACAGGUGACUCCACAAGAUUGUGUCCUGUGGUAUCUGGCACUAAGAUGUUAGCAACAGGUCCUUUAAAUCCUGUAAGUUGUGAGGUGGGGCCUCUAUAGAUCGGACUUGUUUGUCCAGCACGUCCCACAUAUUCUCGAUUGGAUCAAAUUUGGAGGCAACACCCUGAACUCUUUGUUAUGUUCCUCAAACCGUUCCUGAACAACUUUUGCAGCUUUCCAGGGCACAUUAUCCUGGUGAAAGUGGGCACAGCCAUUAGGGAAUACCGUACAUGAAUGUGGUGUACUUUUAGGUAGGUGGUACAUGUCAAAGUAACAUCCACAUGAAUGCCCAAGGACCCAAGGUUUCCCAGCAGAACAUUGCACAGAGCAUCGCACUGCCUCUGCCGACUUGCCUUCUUCCCACAGUCCAUCCUGGUGCCAUCUCUUCCUCAGCAUUAACUUCAGGAGUAGCUCUUCUGUGGGAUUGGACCAGUCGCCCCUAGCUUUUGCUCCCCAAUGAGCCGUGGGUGCCCAUGUCCCUGUCGCCGGUUCACCGGUUGUCCUUCCUUGGACCACUUUUGGUAGGCACUAACUACUGCACACUAGGAACACCCCACAAGACCUGCCGUUUUGGAGAUGCUCUGACCCGGUCUUCUAGCCUUCACAAUUUGCUCCUUGUCAAAGUCGCUCAGAUCCUCACACUUGCCCAUUUUUCCUCCUUCCAACACAUCAACUGUUUACUUGCUACCUACUAUAUCCCUCUCCUUGACGGGUGUCAUUCUAAGGAGAUAAUGAGAUUCUAAUAAGAAAAAUACAGCUGCGUCUAACGAGAUUCUAGCACACACACUAUAUAGCAUCCUUACAUUAUCAACAAUUAUAUAUUUUCCUGUUUUUUGUAAGUGGGUUGAUACUACAGAAAUGAUAACAUAUUAGGAUGAGCACACUGAUGUAAACAUGUGAUAUUUGAAUUCCAGCUGGAGCUAUUGUUAGAACUGCUGUUGUAGAUAAUUAAACAACACCUUCUGACCAAUCAAAACAAAGAAUUCAGCAGUAUACUGUAAAAAUAUGUUGUACAAAAGUUGAUAUAUUCAGCAUUUGGCAAUGAAUAAAACUUCUUAACACUCUCUUAAAUAAUCUUUCCUUUAUUUUAGUACCACUGAACGGUCACAUCAAGGUCUGUACAUUUCAGCAAGCAUUAAUCUUAUAAAUAUAAUAAUAUAUAAGCCUAUAUACAGUCAACAUUUUCAACUGCCAGCAUAUUUGUUCGGUCAGAUCAUCUAAUGGCUAUUCUUCAGCAAGUCUUCAGGACCAAAUGACUCAGGAAGGAGGUCCUUCACAGUCAUCUUUAUGAAAGAGCCGUCUGG